GACGAACGCUGGCGGCGUGCUUAACACAUGCCAGUCGAACGGAAAGGCCCUGCUUUUGUGGGGUGCUCGAGUGGCGAACGGGUGAGUAACACGUGAGUAACCUGCCCUUGACUUUGGGAUAACUUCAGGAAACUGGGGCUAAUACCGGAUAGGAGCUCCUGCUGCAUGGUGGGGGUUGGAAAGUUUCGGCGGUUGGGGAUGGACUCGCGGCUUAUCAGCUUGUUGGUGGGGUAGUGGCUUACCAAGGCUUUGACGGGUAGCCGGCCUGAGAGGGUGACCGGCCACAUUGGGACUGAGAUACGGCCCAGACUCCUACGGGAGGCAGCAGUGGGGAAGAUUGCAAAAUGGGCGGAAGCCUGAUGCAGCAACGCCGCGUGCGGGAUGACGGCCUUCGGGUUGUAAACCGCUUUCGCCUGUGACGAAGCGUGAGUGACGGUAAUGGGUAAAGAAGCACCGGCUAACUACGUG
Molecule: ribosomal RNA, 468 nt
Filed under: uncultured bacterium
Lineage: Bacteria
Description: partial 16S ribosomal RNA
Rfam family: Bacterial small subunit ribosomal RNA
Source: RNAcentral